Molecule: long non-coding RNA, 3371 nt
Filed under: Sus scrofa (pig)
Lineage: Eukaryota; Metazoa; Chordata; Mammalia; Artiodactyla; Suidae
Description: lncRNA (ENSSSCG00035026953.1)
Source: RNAcentral
UUUUUUUUUUUUUUUUUUUUUUUUUUUGUCUUUUUGUCUUUUGUCCUUUGUCUUUUGUUGUUGCUGUUGUUGCUAUUUCUUGGGCAGCUCCCGAGGCAUAUGGAGGUUCCCAGGCUAGGGGUGGAAUUGGAGCUACAGCUGCCAGCUUACACCACAACCCCAGUAACACAGGAGCCAAGCCAUGUCUUUGACCUAUACACAGCUCACGGCAACGCCAGAUCCUUAACCCACUGAGCGAGGCCAGGGAUACGUCCUCAUGGAUACUAGUCAGUCUUGUUACCUCUGAACCACAAUGGGAACCUCAUAGGAAACUAUUUUUACAAAAAAUGUCAAACAAAUGUCCAGCAUCAUUAGUAAUGAAAAGUGCAAAUUUAAACACACUCUUAGCCUAUCAUAUUUGUGAUUAUAGAAAAAAAUGAGACAUGAAUAAAGGAAUUAGAGUGAGCAUAAUUUUCGAUACUGGGUGGUGAUAGUAAUUGAUUUAAGGUUUGAAAUACUGGUAGAAGGAGAAGCCCUGGAAAUAAAUGUGCUCACUCACAAAGAGUGUAGGUAAAGACCCAAUAAUCCUAUCGGCUCAGAGGAUAAUUAAUAUGAGAUCCAUAGGACAAAAAUGUAUUCAAGGAAAGUUUAGUAUCAUUGUGCGUAGAAGGUUUUUCCGAGGAGAAGUUAAAGAAUUUAGAGCAGAGCUCUAAAGUCCACAGAAGGGGCAGAGACAUUUUGGUGAGUAUUUCUAAGCAUAGGUGUUCAAAGACAGAAAAAAAAGUGCCCACUGAACUGAAAAUCAGCCUGAGAUGGAAAAAAAAGGCAGGUGGCUUCAUACAACCAAUGGAUCAGUUUAUUAGAGGAUGUUACUUACAGGUGGGAUUCGGUUGACAGGGAACAGAAUAGCUGUAUUCCACACCCCUAAACGGCCAUUGGGACCAUUUUAUUUUAUUUUUGUCUUUUGUCUUUUUAGGGCUGCACUCGUGGCAUAUGGAAGUCCCCAGGCUAGGGGUCAAAUUGGAGCUACAGCUGUCAGCCUACCCCAUAGCCACAGCAACACCAGAUCGGAGCUGCAUCUGCAACCUAUACCACGGCUCACGUCAACGCCGGAUCCUUAACCCACUGAGUGAGGCCAGGGAAUCGAACUCGUCACCUCAUGGUUCUUAGCCAGAUUCAUUUCCACUGCACCUCGAUGGGAACUCCACUGGAACUUUUUAUAAUUAACCUAGAUUAUGGGGGGGGGUAUACGCUUGGAAAUAGGAAGUGCACUCUUAAGAUUUAUGAAUGGGUAACCAGUUUCGUGGGCAUUGGAAUGUGUCAGAGAAGGUUUUCAUGAUUGUUUGGGAACCAAGAGAGCAUAGCGGCUACCUGGUCCUAAUGAUUAUUAAACAAUAUCUAUUAAUUACAAAGCCCUUGAUGACAGAGGAGUGAUUCACUAUAUAGUGCAGUCCUGGGGAGGGUCAGUGAAAGGACAGGAGAAACUGUGAGGGUCCAAGAUGGCCUCAGUUAUGCUAACAGCCAUACAGUAGGGUAAGGAAAUGUGGAUGUUUAGACUAGUGGGGAGAAGCUUGGAAGGCAUCAUAACAGUAAUGGGGUUAAUUGUGAGUUAAAGUAUGCAAUGACCAAUUACCUUCCAUAUCUAUCAAUGAGUGACAGAAAAAGAUGGGGGGGGGAACUAGCUCUGGCUUCGGGGAUUAAAAUGUAACCUAGGCCAAAAGGGGAAAUAAAAGUAAACCUCAACUAACCUUCCCAAAUUGCAAAUGCCGUGAGGGAGAACUGUAGUGGAUAUUGUACUUACUGGAGAAAGUCCAUGCCAUUGACCAGGAGAGAACUCUAUACCACUUGGAAAGCAGUUUCUGGGGUCCCGUUGGGCCCUGAUAGAGAAGGCGCAUCUGACCAGGAGACAGCAGUUGUCCGCACAACCAGGACCAUCCCUCACGAACUAUUUUUCCAAACUGUAAGGUUGGAUGGACCCAGCUGCAGUUUAUCAUAAGAUGAAAGUGGUACACUGGGGUAGGGCCAGACGGUGCAAUGGCUCAGAUCCCAUUCCUCUGGUGCCUCUCAGCACCAGCGGUGCAUGGGGUCGCUUACGGCAUCUGAGGAAGGGAAAAAAAGAUUGUGCUUGGCUCAUAUGUGUCCGCUGAAUAUGCCAGUGGAUUUAAUAACUUAACAAGCCAAAGGACCAUGGCUACACCUGAACGCCACUCAGCUGUGUUGUUGAAAGAGAGCAGUGUGGAAGCCCUCCCAAUGGGACAAUCUCUUAGAAGUAAAGCUGGUUAUAUAUGUUUCCCAAGGUAUGACUGUUGCUUCUGUUGAAAACCCCACCUAGAAAAAAAGAAAAAAAAAAGUCCCACCCAUCAGCAGCAGAGACCACCACUGAGCCUCUGAUAUGGCCCUAGGAAAACCAACCAGCCACUUGGCUACUUUGUGUCCCUUGCCCACUAAAAUCUUGAUCAAAGUCAAUACAUAUUCUUUUUUUUUUUUUUUUUUCCUUAGGGCUGCACCCGUGGCAUAUGGAGAAUCCCAGGCUAGGGCUAGAAUUGGAGCUACAGCUGCCAGCCUACACCACAGCUACAGCCACACAAGAUCCGAGCCGCAUCUGCAACCUACACCCCAGCUCACGGCAACACCAGAUCCUUAACCCACUGAGUGAGGCCAGGGAUCGAACCCGAAACCUCACGGUUCCUAGUCAGAUUCGUUUCUGCUGCACCAUGAUGGGAACUCCCCAUAUUCUUAAUACAGGUUUGUUUUUCUUGAUGCGAGGCCUCAGCCAGCACCACCAUCUGAUACCUUAUAGGGUGUUUUGUAGAAGCAAAGGAUCAAAGCUGAGUCCUACUUUAAAGCAAAACGGGUAUGGGAGUUGGUACAUGGUCAUGGGAUCCAUUAGUUCUAUCACACAUUUCAUCACCUAGAAGCCACUAACAUGGUAGAGCAGUAGAAUGGUCUUUAUAAGACCAGCCAAGAUCUCACUUUAGAGUUAAUACCCUUUAAGGAUGGGAUAUCAUUAUCCAGGGCAUUCUAAACCAGGGACCAUUGUAGAGCGCUGUUCCCUGUCCCCAGAAGGUAGAAUACAUGAGUCUAGGAAACUAAAGGAUGGAACUCGAGUGGCCCCUCUUAAUCACUCCCAGAGACCCUCGUGGGGAAUCUGUGCUUCCCAUACCUGUAGCUUUACUCUUCAGGUCUAGAAGGGGCCGCUUCCAUCAGGGGACACAGUAAGAAUCGCAUCAAACUUUAAGCUACGGCUGUGGCUGGCGCACUUCCAGUCCCACGUGCGAAGAGAACAGCAGGCAAAAAAGGAAACGCAGGGUAACUAGGGCUGCUCUAACUCAACGGGACAGGGAAGAACAUGUUUGAUCUUCAGGAGAUCCACGAGGGCCUCUUAGUGUUCC